GGGGUCGAUUUGGUUUUGACAGCAAGACCUAUUGGAGAGUAAGCACGUCGAGCAUUGGAAUGUGGCUCGUAAAUAUCAUGUUUCAUCCUUUUUUAAACGGCGAGAAUAACUACGCCUUAGCUGCGUAAUCUGAAUUAUAGUAGGAUACGCUUAAUCCCGACAAGGUCGGGAGCUAAGAUGUCUCCGGAAAGCCUUGAUUUAUGGCGUUCCAUCAGGAGGCACCGGUAAAAUAAAUCUAGAAAUGUUAUGGUCUCGAUAGCAUUUUGAAAUUUAAGAGACUAGAUAUAAAGUAGGUUGUAUCUUGCCAGCUUUAUAUCGAAAUUCAAGUUGAUACUAAGCGUGUAGAAAGCUGUUUAAUAGCUUGUUUGGACGGGAGUUCGAGUCUCCCCGACUCCACU
RNAcentral lists this transfer-messenger RNA (398 nucleotides) under uncultured Psychroflexus sp. It matches the Rfam family "transfer-messenger RNA". From Rfam's summary of the family: Bacterial tmRNA, also known as 10Sa RNA or SsrA, is named for its dual tRNA and mRNA-like properties. Its role is to liberate the mRNA from a stalled ribosome. To accomplish this part of the tmRNA is used as a reading frame that ends in a translation stop signal. The record is from RNAcentral. Lineage: Bacteria; Pseudomonadati; Bacteroidota; Flavobacteriia; Flavobacteriales; Flavobacteriaceae.